AACGUAGGAGACAAACGUUAUCCGGAGUUACUGGGCGUAAAGGGCGUGUAGGCGGUUGGUUAAGUUCGGCGUGAAAGCUCUCGGCUAAACCGGGAGAGGUCGUCGGAUACUAGCCAACUUGAGGAUGGUAGAGGCGUGUGGAAUUCCGGGUGUAGUGGUGAAAUGCGUAGAGAUCCGGAGGAACACCAGUGGCGAAGGCGACACGCUGGGCCAUACCUGACGCUAAAGCGCGACAGCAUGGGGAGCAAACGGG
This 253-nucleotide ribosomal RNA is filed under the name uncultured bacterium. Its description in RNAcentral is "partial 16S ribosomal RNA". It matches the Rfam family "Bacterial small subunit ribosomal RNA", at positions 524 to 776 of the family's 1533-position model. The record is from RNAcentral.